Molecule: ribosomal RNA, 495 nt
Filed under: uncultured bacterium
Lineage: Bacteria
Description: partial 16S ribosomal RNA
Rfam family: Bacterial small subunit ribosomal RNA
Source: RNAcentral
GACGAACGCUGGCGGCGUGCCUAAUACAUGCAAGUAGAACGCUGAAGGAGGAGCUUGCUCUUCUGGAUGAGUUGCGAACGGGUGAGUAACGCGUAGGUAACCUGCCUGGUAGCGGGGGAUAACUAUUGGAAACGAUAGCUAAUACCGCAUAACAGUAGAUGUUGCAUGACAUUUGCUUAAAAGGUGCAAUUGCAUCACUACCAGAUGGACCUGCGUUGUAUUAGCUAGUUGGUGGGGUAACGGCUCACCAAGGCGACGAUACAUAGCCGACCUGAGAGGGUGAUCGACCACACUGGGACUGAGACACGGCCCAGACUCCUACGGGAGGCAGCAGUAGGGAAUCUUCGGCAAUGGACGGAAGUCUGACCGAGCAACGCCGCGUGAGUGAAGAAGGUUUUCGGAUCGUAAAGCUCUGUUGUAAGAGAAGAACGAGUGUGAGAGUGGAAAGUUCACACUGUGACGGUAUCUUACCAGAAAGGGACGGCUAACUACGUG